GAUGAAGAACGUAGUGAAAUGCGAUAAGUAGUGUGAAUUGCAGAAUUCAGUGAAUCAUCGAAUCUUUGAACGCACAUUGCGCCCCUUGGUAUUCCAUGGGGCAUGCCUGUUCGAGCGUCAUUUGUACCCUCAAGCUCUGCUUGGUGUUGGGUGUUUGUUCCGCCUCUGUGUGUGAACUCGCCUCAAAACAAUUGGCAGCCGGCGUACUUGUUUCGGAGCGCAGCACAUUUUGCGAUCCAGAUCAACGUACAGCGGCAUCCAAGAAGCCUUAUUUAACGCUCUUGACCUCGGAUCAGGUAGGGAUACCCGCUGAACUUAAGCAUAUCAAUAAGCGGAGGA
This 339-nucleotide unclassified non-coding RNA is filed under the name soil metagenome. RNAcentral describes it as "partial contains 5.8S ribosomal RNA, internal transcribed spacer 2, and large subunit ribosomal RNA". The stretch from base 1 to 120 matches the Rfam family "5.8S ribosomal RNA", at positions 35 to 154 of the family's 154-position model. The record is from RNAcentral.